AAAAAAAAAAGAAGUGACCUAUGCUCUCUCUCAAGCCCCUCUACUACCUCCGUUCAGCCACCAGCGCCGCCGGCGACUCCGCCGUGGCACUACAAUUUCAUGGAUGGAGUUUGAAGCUCCACGCACACACACUUCGAAAAUCCUUGGAAUUGGAGGUAUUAUACAAUCUGAAAACUGUAUAUUAAUAGUUGAGAUGUGGGCAUAGAAUGGUUUCAAGAUCAGGAUUUGGAGGCCGAUGACGACGACGAAGAGUGCCAAAACGAGCUUGGGCUCGCCUAUUUUAAUAUACCAUUGGAUCAAUCAUAUAUUUUAUGAUUUGACCUGAGAACUCAAAGAGCUACUGUGAGCCUGUUGCCAGCGAUGUAGCUUAUCGUUAUUCAAUAGCUCUAACUGCAGUCACCAUUGAUCCAAUAAAUCCAAAUCUGGUUGCAACUGGAAGACGUGAUCCAUUUGCUCGAGUUUAUGACAUUCGAAAAUAUAAACGCGAUGGAUCAUCUGCAUAUGGUCAGCCGGCUAACUUAUAUCGCCCCCGUCCUCAUGCUACAACGUUAGCCAGUUGUGGAAGAGGUGUAUCAAAAUUUGGGUUCCAAAAGCCAUCGAUAAAGCCAUUCCACUAACAAAUCAGGUAUGUUUCUUGCUACACCUUUUUCAUAUUGCCUAAUGUCAAAUGAUUAAAGUAAUGGUUAUUGGUUGCUAUUCUUACGAACUAUGGUCGGAUUCUGAAUUUUCCCACCAACUUUAGUCAUAUUUGGAAUUUCCCACAAUUGACUGUAGCUCACCGGAUGAUCUUGGAAAAUUAAAUGAUCUUAGCAAAUAUAACAUUCAUCCACAAAUAUAUUCCGAAAAUAAAAUCCUAAAAUGCAUAACAUAAAAGUUACAAUAAAUUAUUAUUGAAUUGUUUGUCAAAAUGAAAAAAAAAAUUAUAAUAAGCCCAACGCGUUGGGCCCAUUCGGGUCAAUCUUCGUCUAACUAUAGAUUAAUAAAAUUUCAACCUUAAAUUUUUUGAAAUUUAUCAAUCUGUUGAAGUCAAUCCAUAAAUCUCGAGUUUCUUAACCGUAUUCGAACAAAUUUAGGAUCCACUUUAAAAAUUUUAAGCUAUAUUCAGUUUACAACUUUCAUUAAAGUUGAGGUCUAUUUACAUUUUUUUUCUAAAGUACGGACUAUUUUUUAUAUUAUUAAAAUUCACUCUUUUUAUAGAUGAUUCCAAAAUCCUUAAAUUUAAAAAAGAUUAAGUACCACGUUGAAUCUAUAAAUGAUGUUAUGAUUAUCAUCUUAUCUAAUAAUAAUGCAACACGUCGAACUUCUCGAUUGUUAAAAUUAUCCAUGAUGCUUUAAAAAAUUAAGUUUAGUUAAAACGGCUUGAAUUUAUUACACGGCAACUGCAGAUCUCAUGACGUCAAAGCAAUGUGCAUAGCGAGAUGCCUGCACGUUUUCUUCGCAUACCAGUGAAAAAGUAAAUAAUAAUAAUAAUAAUAAUAAUAAUAACAACAACAAUAAUCAUAAUAAAAAAAUGCAUCCUAAACAAUGCGACAAAAUAAAUACGGAGUAUUAUUUAACAUUUUGGUGCAGUGCAGUUGUAUAUUUGGUGAAAUGCCAGCUUGAUAAUGAUAGGCUACUACUACCAAAAGUCUAAAACGACAUGUCUCUCUCAAAAAAUCUUUUGCCAAUAAUUGCAACAAGAUCUGUCCCUCCGUUGCCAAACUGCGCUGCGCCCCUGCGGGCAUCUUUUGCCAAUAAUGAUUAUAUAUGUUGUAGCGUUUAUUUGAUAAGAGGUAGCCAACUUGUAGCAUGCUUCUAGUUACAUAUAAUAAUAAAAAGGGUUUUAUAUCAUUUUUUUAUUUGGGGAUAAAAAAUAGUGAAAUUUGAAUUUUAGAGA
This is a long non-coding RNA of Salvia splendens (bonfire salvia), 1876 nucleotides long. RefSeq lists it as uncharacterized. Lineage: Eukaryota; Viridiplantae; Streptophyta; Magnoliopsida; Lamiales; Lamiaceae. The transcript has 4 exons. The record is from RefSeq and is a predicted model, not a curated record.